AGUGAACGCUGGCGGUAGGCCUAACACAUGCAAGUCGAACGGCAGCACAGUAAGAGCUUGCUCUUACGGGUGGCGAGUGGCGGACGGGUGAGGAAUACAUCGGAAUCUACUUUUUCGUGGGGGAUAACGUAGGGAAACUUACGCUAAUACCGCAUACGACCUACGGGUGAAAGCAGGGGAUCUUCGGACCUUGCGCGAUUGAAUGAGCCGAUGUCGGAUUAGCUAGUUGGCGGGGUAAAGGCCCACCAAGGCGACGAUCCGUAGCUGGUCUGAGAGGAUGACCAGCCACACUGGAACUGAGACACGGUCCAGACUCCUACGGGAGGCAGCAGUGGGGAAUAUUGGACAAUGGGCGCAAGCCUGAUCCAGCCAUACCGCGUGGGUGAAGAAGGCCUUCGGGUUGUAAAGCCCUUUUGUUGGGAAAGAAAAGCAGCAGGUUAAUACCCCGCUGUUCUGACGGUACCCAAAGAAUAAGCAUCGGCUAACUUCGUG
RNAcentral lists this ribosomal RNA (492 nucleotides) under uncultured bacterium. RNAcentral's name for it is "partial 16S ribosomal RNA". It matches the Rfam family "Bacterial small subunit ribosomal RNA", at positions 29 to 507 of the family's 1533-position model. The record is from RNAcentral.